UGGGGAAUAUUGGACAAUGGGCGCAAGCCUGAUCCAGCCAUGCCGCGUGAGUGAUGAAGGCCCUAGGGUUGUAAAGCUCUUUCACCGGUGAAGAUAAUGACGGUAACCGGAGAAGAAGCCCCGGCUAACUUCGUGCCAGCAGCCGCGGUAAUACGAAGGGGGCUAGCGUUGUUCGGAUUUACUGGGCGUAAAGCGCACGUAGGCGGACUUUUAAGUCAGGGGUGAAAUCCCGGGGCUCAACCCCGGAACUGCCUUGGAUACUGGAAGUCUUGAGUAUGGUAGAGGUGAGUGGAAUUCCGAGUGUAGAGGUGAAAUUCGUAGAUAUUCGGAGGAACACCAGUGGCGAAGGCGGCUCGCUGGACCAUUACUGACGCUGAGGUGCGAAAGCGUGGGGAGCAAACAGG
RNAcentral lists this ribosomal RNA (404 nucleotides) under Actinomycetes bacterium. Its description in RNAcentral is "Actinobacteria bacterium partial 16S ribosomal RNA". It matches the Rfam family "Bacterial small subunit ribosomal RNA", at positions 355 to 776 of the family's 1533-position model. Lineage: Bacteria; Bacillati; Actinomycetota; Actinomycetes. The record is from RNAcentral.